RNAcentral lists this ribosomal RNA (164 nucleotides) under uncultured bacterium. RNAcentral describes it as "partial 16S rRNA". It matches the Rfam family "Bacterial small subunit ribosomal RNA", at positions 355 to 511 of the family's 1533-position model. The record is from RNAcentral.
UAGGGAAUCUUCCACAAUGGGCGCAAGCCUGAUGGAGCAACACCGCGUGAGUGAAGAAGGGUUUCGGCUCGUAAAGCUCUGUUGUUAAAGAAGAACACGUAUGAGAGUAACUGUUCAUACGUUGACGGUAUUUAACCAGAAAGCCACGGCUAACUACGUACACG